Molecule: long non-coding RNA, 426 nt
Organism: Bombina bombina (fire-bellied toad)
Lineage: Eukaryota; Metazoa; Chordata; Amphibia; Anura; Bombinatoridae
Exons: 4
Source: RefSeq, a predicted model, not a curated record
CAGAAAUGUAAUGAACCCACUUAGGAAUAUUCAUUUAAUCAUUUGACUACCAGAAAUGACUAUACUGCAUUGCAAAGAGAAUACUAAAGAAAAACUGUAGACUUGACUUUGAGGGAGGAGACAGACCUUAAAAAAGAGGAUGCUACAAGGAGUUCACGGUAAAUUUUCAAGAAGUAAUUCUUCCGUCCGGCUAUACCGAUGUUGUAUUUCCGGUUUUGUUGGCUUGUCUUGUUCCAGUUGAGGUGGUUGAUUCUGGGCUGUCUGCUCAUCCACAAUGGGGGCAUGAUGUUCUGUUGAUGGUUGGUCAACGCUGACAGAUGACAAUGUUUGUUAUAACUUACGUGGAGGAGUAGUGGGCAUCUCUCCACUUCCAGAGGCUGCUACUGGUGGGAUCCGAAUCCGAGUUACUAACACUGUUAAAUAUAG